This is a non-coding RNA of Pelobates cultripes (western spadefoot toad), 337 nucleotides long. The record is from the annotation of a GenBank genome assembly. Lineage: Eukaryota; Metazoa; Chordata; Amphibia; Anura; Pelobatidae.
CAUUGUAGCAAUGCCAAUUAGUAAGUGUUCCAGAAGGUACAUGAGCGCUCCAUAGGAAAUAAAAAAGACUACCAUAUAUAAUAAUGGUAAUGGUAUUAAUGGAGUCAUGGUUUCAUGUUUUUGUUUACUGGGGGGAAUGCUACACCUAGUAAGACCAGAUGUAUGGUCUCUCAUGUCAGUAAAAUUAAACCUUCAAGUUCCACCAAGGAGAAAUAACAUAAAACAGAGAUGAUUGACUAUUUGUACAUAAACAAAAAUGUGAAGUCCCCAAGACUUCCAAACAAAAACCAGAAGGCCAGAUAGUGUGGCUUCUCCUAUAUCUCCACCCCAUGGCCCA